RNAcentral lists this non-coding RNA (272 nucleotides) under Syntrophomonas zehnderi OL-4. Its description in RNAcentral is "Bacterial small subunit ribosomal RNA". It matches the Rfam family "Bacterial small subunit ribosomal RNA", at positions 1368 to 1533 of the family's 1533-position model. Lineage: Bacteria; Bacillati; Bacillota; Clostridia; Eubacteriales; Syntrophomonadaceae. The record is from Rfam by way of RNAcentral.
GCGUUCCCGGGCCUUGUACACACCGCCCGUCACACCACGAAAGUCGGCAACACCCGAAGCCAGUGAGCUAACUGAACGGAAGUCAGAGGUCAGAAGUAAGAAGUCAGAGAUUAGUGAAGAAAUUGGCAAUACCAAUUUCAACCAAAGAUCCGACCUCCUACAUCCGAUUUCCGACUUCUGUUCAGAGGCAGCUGUCGAAGGUGGGGUUGGUGAUUGGGGUGAAGUCGUAACAAGGUAUCCGUACCGGAAGGUGCGGAUGGAUCACCUCCUUU